UGGUUCUGGCAUCGCUGAAGAACGCAGCGAAAUGCGAUAAGUAAUGCGAAUUGCAGAAUUCCGUGAGUCAUCGAAUCUUUGAACGCAUAUUGCGCCCCCUGGUAUUCCGGGGGGCAUGCCUGUCCGAGCGUCAUUUAUCCCAUCAAGCACGGCUCGAGGUUGGGUCUACCGCUCUGCGGUUCCCCUGAAAUGCAGUGGUGUUCUCCAGCAGGCUGAGAUGCAGCGAGCUUUCGGGCAUGCGUCUUGGGGUUGCGGGAGGUGCAGCUUAACCAUCUUUCUAGGUUGACCUCGGAUCAGACAGGAUUACCCGCUGA
Molecule: unclassified non-coding RNA, 314 nt
Filed under: uncultured fungus
Lineage: Eukaryota; Fungi
Description: partial contains 5.8S ribosomal RNA and internal transcribed spacer 2
Rfam family: 5.8S ribosomal RNA (bases 1-133)
Source: RNAcentral